GUUGUAUAGUCAAGUAAUUAAGUGCAUGUGGUGGAUGCCUUGGCAGUCAGAGGCGAUGAAAGACGUGAUAGCCUGCGAAAAGCUCCGGGGAGGCGGCAAAUAUCCUUUGAUCCGGAGAUGUCUGAAUGGGGGAACCCACCUACUUUAAGGUAGGUAUUGCAACAUGAAUACAUAGUGUUGCAAGGCGAACGAGGGGAAGUGAAACAUCUCAGUACCCUUAGGAAAAGAAAUCAAUUGAGAUUCCCUCAGUAGCGGCGAGCGAACGGGGAUCAGCCCAUUAAGUUAUGUGUGUUUUAGUGGAACGCUCUGGGAAGUGCGAACGUAGAGGGUGAUAUUCCCGUACACGAAAGGGCACACAUAAUGAUGACGAGUAGGGCGAGGCACGUGAAACCUUGUCUGAAUAUGGGGGGACCAUCCUCCAAGGCUAAAUACUCCUGACUGACCGAUAGUGAACCAGUACCGUGAGGGAAAGGCGAAAAGAACCCCUGUGAGGGGAGUGAAAUAGAUCCUGAAACCGCAUGCAUACAAGCAGUGGGAGCACCUUCGUGGUGUGACUGCGUACCUUUUGUAUAAUGGGUCAGCGACUUAUAUUCAGUAGCGAGGUUAACCGUAUAGGGGAGCCGUAGAGAAAUCGAGUCUUAAUAGGGCGUUUAGUUGCUGGGUAUAGACCCGAAACCAGGCGAUCUAUCCAUGAGCAGGUUGAAGGUUGGGUAACACUAACUGGAGGACCGAACCCACUGUCGUUGAAAAGCCAGGGGAUGACUUGUGGAUAGGGGUGAAAGGCUAAUCAAGCCUGGUGAUAGCUGGUUCUCCCCGAAAGCUAUUUAGGUAGCGCCUCGGACGAAUACCAUAGGGGGUAGAGCACUGUUUCGGCUAGGGGGUCAUCCCGACUUACCAAACCGAUGCAAACUCCGAAUACCUAUGAGUACUAUCCGGGAGACAGACUGCGGGUGCUAACGUCCGUAGUCAAGAGGAAAACAAUCCAGACCGCCAGCUAAGGCCCCAAAAUCAUAGUUAAGUGGGAAACGAUGUGGGAAGGCAUAGACAGCUAGGAGGUUGGCUUAGAAGCAGCCACCCUUUAAAGAAAGCGUAAUAGCUCACUAGUCGAGUCGGCCUGCGCGGAAGAUGUAACGGGGCUAAAACUAUGUGCCGAAGCUGCGGAUNNNNNNNNNNNNNNNNNNNNNAUGCUGGAGGUAUCAGAAGUGCGAAUGCUGACGUGAGUAACGACAAAACGGGUGAAAAACCCGUUCGCCGAAAGACCAAGGGUUCCAGUCCAACGUUAAUCGGGGCUGGGUGAGUCGACCCCUAAGGCGAGGCCGAAAGGCGUAGUCGAUGGGAAAAUGGUUAAUAUUCCAUUACUUCUGUGUAAUGCGAUGAGAGGACGGAGAAGGCUAAAUCAGCCUGGCGUUGGUUGUCCAGGUGAAAGGAUGUAGGCAUGUAUCUUAGGCAAAUCCGGGGUACUCUAUGCUGAGAUCUGAUAGCAAGCUGUACUUGUACAGCGAAGUGGUUGAUGCCAUGCUUCCAGGAAAAGUCUCUAAGCUUCAGUUACACAGGAAUCGUACCCGAAACCGACACAGGUGGUCAGGUCGAGUAGACCAAGGCGCUUGAGAGAACUCUGCUGAAGGAACUAGGCAAAAUGGUACCGUAACUUCGGGAGAAGGUACGCUGUUGUUGGUGAUGGAACUCGCUUCCUGAGCUGACGACAGCCGCAGAAACCAGGCCGCUGCAACUGUUUAUUAAAAACAUAGCACUCUGCAAACACGAAAGUGGACGUAUAGGGUGUGAUGCCUGCCCGGUGCUGGAAGGUUAAUUGAUGGGGUUAGCGUAAGCGAAGCUCUUGAUCGAAGCCCCAGUAAACGGCGGCCGUAACUAUAACGGUCCUAAGGUAGCGAAAUUCCUUGUCGGGUAAGUUCCGACCUGCACGAAUGGCAUAAUGAUGGCGGCGCUGUCUCCAGCAGAGGCUCAGUGAAAUCGAAAUCGCUGUGAAGAUGCAGUGUACCCGCGGCUAGACGGAAAGACCCCGUGAACCUUUACUGCAGCUUGACACUGAACUUUGACCUUACUUGUGUAGGAUAGGUGGGAGGCUUUGAAGCUGGAACGCUAGUUCCAGUGGAGCCGUCCUUGAAAUACCACCCUGGUAAUGUUGAGGUUCUAACUCUGUCCCGUGAUCCGGGACGAGGACCGUGUCUGGUGGGUAGUUUGACUGGGGCGGUCUCCUCCUAAAGAGUAACGGAGGAGUACGAAGGUGCGCUCAGCGUGGUCGGAAAUCACGCGUAGAGUAUAAAGGCAAAAGCGCGCUUAACUGCGAGACCCACAAGUCGAGCAGGUACGAAAGUAGGUCUUAGUGAUCCGGUGGUUCUGUAUGGAAGGGCCAUCGCUCAACGGAUAAAAGGUACUCUGGGGAUAACAGGCUGAUACCGCCCAAGAGUUCAUAUCGACGGCGGUGUUUGGCACCUCGAUGUCGGCUCAUCUCAUCCUGGGGCUGAAGCAGGUCCCAAGGGUAUGGCUGUUCGCCAUUUAAAGAGGUACGCGAGCUGGGUUUAGAACGUCGUGAGACAGUUCGGUCCCUAUCUACCGUGGGCGCUGGAAAUUUGAGAGGAUCUGCUCCUAGUACGAGAGGACCAGAGUGGACGAACCUCUGGUGUACCGGUUGUGACGCCAGUCGCAUCGCCGGGUAGCUAUGUUCGGAAGGGAUAACCGCUGAAAGCAUCUAAGCGGGAAGCCUACCUCAAGAUAAGAUUUCCCUAGGACUUUAUGUCCUCUAAAGAGCCGUUCGAGACUAGGACGUUGAUAGGUUGGAUGUGGAAGCAUAGUGAUAUGUGAAGCUGACCAAUACUAAUUGCUCGUGAGGCUUGACUAUACAACACCCAAGCAGUUG
This 2878-nucleotide ribosomal RNA is filed under the name Acinetobacter baumannii. RNAcentral's name for it is "23S ribosomal RNA". It matches the Rfam family "Bacterial large subunit ribosomal RNA". Lineage: Bacteria; Pseudomonadati; Pseudomonadota; Gammaproteobacteria; Moraxellales; Moraxellaceae. The record is from RNAcentral.